Mercenaria mercenaria is the source of this 856-nucleotide long non-coding RNA. RefSeq lists it as uncharacterized. The record is from RefSeq and is a predicted model, not a curated record. Lineage: Eukaryota; Metazoa; Mollusca; Bivalvia; Venerida; Veneridae. The transcript has 6 exons.
AUCUUUGUGAAAAUACUAAACUAAAUAGAAUUAUACCCUUCUAUUGAAACUUUUGUUACAUUUUCAUCUUGCUUAAAAAUUGAUUUAAAAAAUUAAAAUGUUUGUAAACCAGUUUAGUAUUCUGUAAAAGCUAUUUCAUUCUAUGUCACAAAUUUGAUAGGCUAAACAACUUUGGAUAUGGAAUUAAACUUUUCAGAAAAGAAAGACUGUGUUUACUCGUAAAUGUUUUAUCAAUAUUUCACAGCUGGAUGUGAGUGAAUUAAUAAAGUAAGACCUAAAAUGCAACUUAAGCUAAUUGGAUUACAUAAGAAACGUUUAUAAAACAACUUAUUAAUUUUAUAAAAUAAGACCAUACAUUGGAUAGAAUGUAUAAACGGACUUACGUUAAAAACAAGAAACUUUAUUAGGUGGAUAUAUAGCAAGUUUACAGUUCGCCGUGGGCCAUUAAGGAUACUAAAUAUGUUAUGCAGUUCCACGAAAACGCACAUAUGAAUCAAAGGACGUUCCUUGCAAUGAAAACAGAAAACGAUUGAAACUAAGGACAGGAAACACGGAGACCGUGCCUGACACGUAUCAGCCUCCAAUACAGGAGACAGCCGAGCCUGCCGCAACUACCGAUGUGACUCAAGGUCUUUUCCCUGCAAACAUGCAACCCGUGCAUGAGGAACAGGAAAUUUCAGUACGUGGCGCAGCUGGAACAUCCGGAAACAUCCCAAUACUGCCAUCAUCAUCUGCUGUGACUGCUGCUGCAGGUACUGGAAAUCGAAAUGAGAAGAAAGCAGACGACGGGCAUAGAGAUAUCACAUCAGCAAAGGCAGGGUCAUGUUAAAGAAGAAGACUAUAGAAAAUAAUAAAU